CCAGAAUCCAUGAUCGAUCUAGUCAUUUGCAGCAUUGGGAUGUGAGUUCCUAACAUGAUGAGCAGCUGGUGUAGUGUUUCUUUUUGAUGGAUAACCAUGGAGUUUGUAGUAGACUUUUGCAGUAUGUAUACCCUCUUUGAUAGGUUAUGUGGGCCUGUUGGAGGAAGAAUAGUUAUUGGAACCUGUGUGUGUUAUAACUUCUUUAUGGUAAUGUGAUUUGACUUUGUGAGCAGCAUGACUCAUCCCAGGAUCGAUAUCAAUGGUCCUGAGCAUGGGUGGGGGAUUCCUCGUGCAUAGGUGUUGUUAUUUCUUUUAUUUCAAGUAAGGCUCUAUCUAAACAUCGUCACACCUUGUGGCUUUUGCCAUGUUUAGUGUUACUUAUAAUAAUAUUUUCCUUUGCUGAUAAAAAAAAUAAUAAAAAUCACUGUGAUUUAAGGCUCGGCUGGUUUUGGUGUCAUCAACAAAGUCAAUAAGGUAAUAGCCAACAAGAGAGUUUAAUUUAGACCCUCCGAGCAGUAUAACUAAAUCCAUUGAGCUUAAUUGAACUUGAGUGUGAUUACUGAUUGAGUAUUUAUGGUAGGGAUAUUGGUGGUUUCAUCAGAUGAGGAAGUCAUGGUGGAAGAGGUAUGAAUCAAAUGCUGUUAAGCCAAGGCAAUUGACACAUAUGGAGUAAAUUAUCAUGGGAGUUCUCAUUUUUAUUUCUUUGUUAUUAUUAUAGCUAGAGUAAAUUUGAUAAGAGAUAAGAUGUAUCCUAAUCUAGACUAAAGCUGCAAGCCUGCAACAAUUAGAUAAGAUCUACGUUUAAAUUACAAGAUAAGAUAUUAAUAGAUAAGAUCUUCAUUUUUAGAUUACGGAAUCAUGUUUAUCCCUUAUCUAUUUAGUUAGCCAUAAUUAUGAUGUGUUCAGUUAGGAUUCUAUAUCCAUUUAGUUGCAGUAGCUUCUUCUCUUGUUAUAUAAUAAAUAUGUGAUGAGUUCUUUGUACCUGCAUGGAGCCGCUCGAUAUGGAUAUGGAUCCUGACUUCAGGCAAUUAGGGAAGGAUAGUGACCGUGAUUUCAUGGACUCAACUAGUGAUUACGGUACAUGAGGGAACACAGGAAUCUUCCUUAUCUAGUGAUGAUGGGGAAUCUGUCAAUUCUCAGGGUUACUUUUUUUAGUAUCUUGAACUGGAGACCCUCUCAGAAGUUGUGAUUUACAAGCAUCAAGUUGGAUAUCUGUAGCCUGCUUUGAGUCUUUGACAUUCAGUUUUUACAGAUGAACAAGGGAAUGACUUGUUCUUCUUUUUGCUUGUAUGCAUCCAAUUUGCAGGAUACCAACCGAUCCAACAAUGAAAGAUCUUGGAUUCUUGAUGCCUUCUUUCUGACAUAUCAUUCCCAUUAUGAACCCGUGGGAGCUAUGCAUUUUUUCUUUCUUUCAAGUUCACAAAGAAAGAGUAUCGGCCACGGUGCCAUCACAUCCUACUGACAUGGACAGUGUCCAUAAAAUGUCUUGCUUCAUACAAGUUCAAAGGAUCUCUGGAUUCAUAAUGAUUGGUGGAUAUGAAUGUCAAUUAGCUAGCUCUCUUCUGUAGGCAACUGGUUAAGGGUUCCUUUGCUGACAACUGAUUAAGACUGCUUCAGGUCAGCCGUUGAUGAUGUUAAGGUGACCGUAGCUAUAAAAUACUUACUUCUGCUGUUUAAGAACUGAACCUUAGUAUUUGCCAGUCCCUCCUUUGGUCCAUUUCUUAGAUGUCACACUUGCUGGAAUCAGAGUAAAUCACAAAUUCAACAGAAGGAAAAAGGGAAAAAAAAUGGUAAGCUCUCUGUCCUUUGCAAUUCCUUGCAUUGUUUCCUGCCGUAAUAAGUGGAAGAAUCAUAAAAGUAAUGGUAAAGCAGCGAAGCUCGGCAGAGUUGAGGCUAUGUCAGCAUGUGUUCAUGGUGGAUACUGGAUAUACAGAUUAACGAGCCAGCUUCACAAGGUUGGUUGAUACAUGUUAUGAGGUUUUUUGUUUGCUAACAUCAAUGAGCCCUGCAUGGAUUGCUUCUUGUUGAUUUCCAACAAUAUUAAUGUUGGUAUGGUUUUGUUAAAGAGAACAACAGGCUACAUUUUUUUCUGUCCUGGUUGGGAAAUUUUACUGUAUAGGAGCUAGGUGGACUCACGUUUCUUAGCUGCAUUACCUGUAGAACUCUUCUGUUGAUUUACUAUACCAAUGAAGGGUUCCUUUUCUUUCGAUAA
Molecule: long non-coding RNA, 2212 nt
Organism: Glycine soja
Lineage: Eukaryota; Viridiplantae; Streptophyta; Magnoliopsida; Fabales; Fabaceae
Exons: 4
Source: RefSeq, a predicted model, not a curated record